RNAcentral lists this small nuclear RNA (23 nucleotides) under Arabidopsis thaliana (thale cress). RNAcentral's name for it is "snRNA_10220". Lineage: Eukaryota; Viridiplantae; Streptophyta; Magnoliopsida; Brassicales; Brassicaceae. The record is from RNAcentral.
AAUGAUUAGAUAAUUAUAAAUUA